This 252-nucleotide ribosomal RNA is filed under the name uncultured bacterium. RNAcentral describes it as "partial small subunit ribosomal RNA". It matches the Rfam family "Bacterial small subunit ribosomal RNA", at positions 26 to 287 of the family's 1533-position model. The record is from RNAcentral.
AGGACAAACGCUGGCGGCGUGCCUAAGACAUGCAAGUCGGACGGGGGCUUCGGCCCCGAGUGGCGGACGGGUGAGGAGCGCGUGGAGAACCUGCCCCGGGAUGGGGGAUACCAGCCAGAAAUGGCUGCUAAUACCGCAUACGAUUCCCCGCUGGUAAGGCGUGGGAAGGAAAGCCGCAAGGCGUCCUGGGAGGGUCCGCGUCGGAUUAGCUAGUUGGUGGGGUAACGGCCUACCAAGGCGACGAUCCGUAGC